This is a long non-coding RNA of Scylla paramamosain (green mud crab), 482 nucleotides long. RefSeq lists it as uncharacterized. The transcript is spliced from 3 exons. The record is from RefSeq and is a predicted model, not a curated record. NCBI's taxonomy places the organism in Eukaryota, Metazoa, Arthropoda, Malacostraca, Decapoda, Portunidae.
UGUUGCCAUGCUGUCUCGACAACAGCUGGCACAGGCGCGUGGGAACACGAGAAGACAGCGGUGUCUUGAGGCAAAGCGACGGAGAAAUUAUAAACACUACCACUUCAUGAGCUCCAGCACUCACUAGUGAAGGUUCAUUCAAGAGUGCAUCAACCUCAGUCAGUCACGGAUGCUGUCGGUAGAAGUAAGCUGUUGCCAGGACACUAGACGAGGAGAUGAGCCAUCACAAAACUAGCUUGACGCACACACAGAUUCCGAAAUGGGACACAGUUACACAGCCUGUGCAAGCCGCCUUUCGCUGCAGCACCGUCAGAAAGGAGCGUCAGCAGCAGGGAUAGCCUUACAUGAGGAGCCUUUCUGGCACAUCAACUCCACUCCGAGAGGCAAGAUGAGGAGAGGGUGGCGACAAGAAAAUGACAAAUCUAGGCCCAAAAUACUGAUCUACUUCACUGAAAACCUCGUGUGCCAUUGUAAAUAGUUUC